AACCUUUAGUACGGCGAGUGAGCGGUAAAAGCUCAAAUUUGAAAUCUGGUACUUUCAGUGCCCGAGUUGUAAUUUGUAGAAUUUGUCUUUGAUUAGGUCCUUGUCUAUGUUCCUUGGAACAGGACGUCAUAGAGGGUGAGAAUCCCGUUUGGCGAGGAUACCUUUUCUCUGUAAGACUUUUUCGAAGAGUCGAGUUGUUUGGGAAUGCAGCUCAAAGUGGGUGGUAAAUUCCAUCUAAAGCUAAAUAUUGGCGAGAGACCGAUAGCGAACAAGUACAGUGAUGGAAAGAUGAAAAGAACUUUGAAAAGAGAGUGAAAAAGUACGUGAAAUUGUUGAAAGGGAAGGGCAUUUGAUCAGACAUGGUGUUUUUUGCAUGCACUCGCCUCUCGUGGGCUUGGGCCUCUCAAAAAUUUCACUGGGCCAACAUCAAUUCUGGCAGCAGGAUAAAUCAUUAAGAAUGUAGCUACUUCGGUAGUGUUAUAGCUUUUUGGAAUACUGUUAGCCGGGAUUGAGGACUGCGCUUCGGCAAGGAUGUUGGCAUAAUGGUUAAAUGCCGCCCGUCUAGAACGGGAAA
Molecule: ribosomal RNA, 574 nt
Filed under: Hanseniaspora uvarum
Lineage: Eukaryota; Fungi; Ascomycota; Saccharomycetes; Saccharomycodales; Saccharomycodaceae
Description: partial large subunit ribosomal RNA
Rfam family: Eukaryotic large subunit ribosomal RNA
Source: RNAcentral